RNAcentral lists this ribosomal RNA (620 nucleotides) under uncultured bacterium. RNAcentral's name for it is "bacterial SSU rRNA". The stretch from base 1 to 540 matches the Rfam family "Bacterial small subunit ribosomal RNA", at positions 338 to 873 of the family's 1533-position model. The record is from RNAcentral.
CCUACGGGAGGCAGCAGUGGGGAAUUUUGGACAAUGGGGGGAACCCUGAUCCAGCCAUUCCGCGUGUGCGAUGAAGGCCUUCGGGUUGUAAAGCACUUUUGGCAGGAAAGAAAUCGCACGGAUUAAUACUUUGUGUGGAUGACGGUACCUGCAGAAUAAGCACCGGCUAACUACGUGCCAGCAGCCGCGGUAAUACGUAGGGUGCAAGCGUUAAUCGGAAUUACUGGGCGUAAAGCGUGCGCAGGCGGUUCGGAAAGAGAGGUGUGAAAUCCCAGGGCUUAACCUUGGAACUGCACUUUUAACUCCCGAGCUAGAGUAUGUCAGAGGGGGUGGAAUUCCGCGUGUAGCAGUGAAAUGCGUAGAUAUGCGGAGGAACACCGAUGGCGAAGGCAGCCCCCUGGGAUGAUACUGACGCUCAUGCACGAAAGCGUGGGGAGCAAACAGGAUUAGAUACCCUGGUAGUCCACGCCCUAAACGAUGUCAACUAGCUGUUGGGGGCUUCGGGCCCUUAGUAGCGCAGCUACGCGUGAGUAGACCGCCGUGGGAGGUACGGUCGCGAGAGUAAACUACAAGAAGUUAGACGCGUGAGACGUGACGACGGACGACGACGAGGGAGGAGG